This 70-nucleotide transfer RNA is filed under the name Phyllopteryx taeniolatus (common seadragon). RNAcentral describes it as "tRNA-Gln". It matches the Rfam family "tRNA". From Rfam's summary of the family: Transfer RNA (tRNA) molecules are approximately 80 nucleotides in length. Their secondary structure includes four short double-helical elements and three loops (D, anti-codon, and T loops). Lineage: Eukaryota; Metazoa; Chordata; Actinopteri; Syngnathiformes; Syngnathidae. The record is from RNAcentral.
UAGGAAGUGGUGUAGUGGAGGCACCAAGAGUUUUGAUCUCUUUAGCGGGGUUCGAAUCCCUUCUUUCUAA